GAUGAACGCUGGCGGCGUGCCUAAUACAUGCAAGUCGAGCGAACGGACGAGAAGCUUGCUUCUCUGAUGUUAGCGGCGGACGGGUGAGUAACACGUGGAUAACCUACCUAUAAGACUGGGAUAACUUCGGGAAACCGGAGCUAAUACCGGAUGAUAUUUUGAACCGCAUGGUUCAAAAGUGAAAGACGGUCUUGCUGUCACUUAUAGAUGGAUCCGCGCUGCAUUAGCUAGUUGGUAGGGUAACGGCUUACCAAGGCAACGAUGCAUAGCCGACCGGUGAGGGGGAUAGGCGACAUGGGAGGGGAGACACGGACAAGAGGCCUACGGGAGGGAGCAGAAGGGAACCUGCCGCAGUAGGCGAAAGCCUGACGGAGCAACGCCACGUGAGUGAUGACGAUGUUGGGAGCGUAAAACUCGGCUAUGAGGGAAGAACAUAUGUGUAAGUAACUGAGCACAGCUUGACGGUACCGAAUCAGAAAGCCACGGCUAACUACGUG
Molecule: ribosomal RNA, 497 nt
Filed under: uncultured bacterium
Lineage: Bacteria
Description: partial 16S ribosomal RNA
Rfam family: Bacterial small subunit ribosomal RNA
Source: RNAcentral